This 443-nucleotide ribosomal RNA is filed under the name uncultured bacterium. Its description in RNAcentral is "partial 16S ribosomal RNA". It matches the Rfam family "Bacterial small subunit ribosomal RNA", at positions 338 to 795 of the family's 1533-position model. The record is from RNAcentral.
CCUACGGGAGGCAGCAGUAGGGGAUCUUGGACAAUGGGGGAAACCCUGACCCAGCGACGCCGCGUGAGUGAAGAAGUAUUUCGGUAUGUAAAGCUCUGUCAGCAGAGAAGAAAGAAAUGACGGUACCUGACCACGAAGUCCCGGCUAACUACGUGCCAGCCGCCGCGGUAAUACGUAGGGAGCAAGCGUUAUCCGGAAUUACUGGGUGUAAAUGCAGCGUAGGCGGUGAUGCAAGUCUGGAGUGAAAGGCGGGGGGCCAACCCCCGGACUGCUUUGGAAACUGUGUAACUUGAGUGCAGGAGAGGGAAGCGGAAUUCCAAGUGUAGCGGUGAAAUGCGUAGAUAUAAGGAGGAACACCAGUGGCGAAGGCGGCUUACUGGACUGUAACUGACGUUGAGGCUCGAAAGCGUGGGGAGCAAACAGGAUUAGAUACCCGAGUAGUC